AUUUACCUUGCUGAAUGGGUUUCCUCUAGAAUAUAUAUAUAUAUAUAUGAAAUUUUUUCCUAGAGUGCUACAAUGGAUACAAACACAAACUGACACAACCAAUGCAUAAGUUUGGCAUCAAUUCCAAUGGCUUUUGAGGCCUGGUCUCUUCCACACAACUGAGACAAAAUGUCAGGAAGAUGUUUUGUGGAUAGAUGUUCCUAGUGGUGAGGGGCAGGAUUUCCACUUUUUAGAAUUGAAUUGCUUCGUUCUGUGGCUAUGGAUCAAUGGCGUUGAAUGGACAGACAUGGUAAGAACAAUGUUCAUGCACUAUCACCUGCCAUGCCUUGGAAACUUGGUGGCAGGAUGGGAUUGUGUAUGGCUCGCCUCUUGCUUCCUGUCACACCUCCUCCUUUAAAGAUCGGCUUCUUUGGAUUUGUUGGUGGCUUGGCAAUGGAGUUCUAUGAUCCAGCUUGAUUGGGUUUGAAACUCAAUAUCGAUGCCUGUCGAGAGAGAGAGAUAGGGAGAAAGAGUGGUUUCAUCAACUUGCCCCUUCGCAUCUCAAAGGGCGUGAGCGCUCCAACCAAUCCUUCUACAGGGAAACUUUUCGACCUCCUCUGUUUGCUUAUCUGGAUUACGUCCUUGCUUAAGUGUUUGUUUCAACGGUGUCUUAUUUCACACAUCAGUUUCAACCUCAGCAUAUUUGUGUUCUGUCAAUCGAGUCUUAAAAUUUUACAAAAAAACGCGAAUCCUUUUCCUUGAUAAUAAUGCGUUGUGUUUAACCACAAUUAGAACCUGGUUCGAAGCAUAAGUUUGGUUAUCCAUGUGAGCAACUCCUGGGGUUUCCAGGCUUCAGAUUGGACGCAGCUUCGCCGCUGUCAAUAUGAACAUCAAUGCCAGGUCAUUUGCAGUUGUUGGUUGCGAAAUGUACCUUACAAAACUCGAGCUCGGAAACGGCUUCAAAACGUGACCUGAACAAAGCAAGACGUCGAGAGCGCGAAAACCGCAAUGAAGAGCAAGAGAAAACUAGGCUUCACACAUUCGAUUCAACUCCAUGGCUGAGCAGGAGCAGAAGCAGCAGGAAGCUUAAACCAUGCGAUUGCCAUGAGUUGGCACGGCUCAUGGAUGGAUCAGGAUGUGUACGCCUGUGAGGACGAGAAGGAGCUGGGGGAGUUGUCACCGCGAGCAAGCGAGACAUAUGCGAAGCUAGAGCUUCCGGAAGGAGCUCACCAGGGAUGCGGCCACCUGAUUCUCUAUGUGAAGGGCACUUGGUAUCCGACCCACUUCCUGCUUUCGGUGUUGGACGGCCAAGACACAUGGGACUUCAAUGGAGUUUGUGUGCCAUCAGGCGAAUGAAAUUGAGAUGGAGGCAAGAGAAUGGUUGAAUGAAGUGUACCUUUGCUUCAGCCAGCAACGCCCCUGCAGUUACUACUCUUUCGUAUCAACUGGGAGUAGCACCAAGAUGGCAAGUUUCUCAUCUUUUUGUGUUGUUGUUGAACUUGGUUUUGUAGUUUUGGGUUUCAUGUUUCCUUUCAUGUGGAGUAUGUGAUAUUACCAGGAAACUUUGCCGAAAGGAAUGACUGAUGCAAAGCAUUUGUGGUGGAAUAUUUGAUUUCAAAGUAUUUAUGAACACAGAGUAUGAUGUUUUGAUUUUUAUUUUUAUUUUUGUAAAAAUUUAAUGUAGA
Non-coding RNA from Physcomitrium patens, 1664 nucleotides. The record is from RefSeq and is a predicted model, not a curated record. NCBI's taxonomy places the organism in Eukaryota, Viridiplantae, Streptophyta, Bryopsida, Funariales, Funariaceae.